This 506-nucleotide ribosomal RNA is filed under the name uncultured bacterium. Its description in RNAcentral is "partial 16S ribosomal RNA". It matches the Rfam family "Bacterial small subunit ribosomal RNA", at positions 28 to 523 of the family's 1533-position model. The record is from RNAcentral.
GAUGAACGCUAGCUACAGGCUUAACACAUGCAAGUCGAGGGGUAACGAGAGGAAAGCUUGCUUUCCUUGUCGACGACCGGCGCACGGGUGAGUAACGCGUAUCCAACCUGCCCCCAACUAGGGAAUAACCUUGCGAAAGUAAGACUAAUACCCUAUAAUUUCCUCAGAUGUCAUCUGACGAGGAAUAAAGAUUUAUCGGUUGUGGAUGGGGAUGCGUCUGAUUAGCUUGUUGGCGGGGUAACGGCCCACCAAGGCAACGAUCAGUAGGGGUUCUGGGAGGAAGGUCCCCCACAUUGGAACUGAGACACGGGCCAAACUCCUACGGGAGGCAGCAGUGAGGAAUAUUGGCCAAUGGGCGGAAGCCUGAACCAGCCAAGUAGCGUGCAGGAUGACGGCCCUAUGGGUUGUAAACUGCUUUUGUACAGGAAUAAAGUUAGCCACGUGUGGUUAUUUGUAGGUACUGUAUGAAUAAGGACCGGCUAAUUCCGUGCCAGCAGCCGCCGUAA